UGCCCAAGGAUUCAACGGCCGCGGUACUCUGACCGUGCGAAGGUAGCACAAUCACUUGUUCUUUAAAUGAGGACUAGAAUCAAUGGCAUCACGAGGGUCACACUGUCUCCUUUUUUUAAUCAGUGAAAUUGAUCUCCCCGUGAAGAAGCGGGGAUAACCUUAUAAGACGAGAAGACCCCAUGGAGCUUCAAACUCAACGGAUAACUCUAUAACCAUAAGAUAUUUUAAGGGACCUAUCCGCUAGUUUUGGGUUGGGGUGACCACGGAGAACAACCUAACCUCCGUAAUGAAAAGAAAUCAUAAUCCAAGAGCUACACCUCUAAGAAUUAACAAAUUAACAUACAGUGAUCCAUUUUAUUGAUCAAUGAACCAAGUUACCCUGGGGAUAACAGCGCUAUCCA
RNAcentral lists this ribosomal RNA (401 nucleotides) under Ptychadena erlangeri (Erlanger's grass frog). RNAcentral describes it as "partial 16S ribosomal RNA". It matches the Rfam family "Bacterial large subunit ribosomal RNA", at positions 1910 to 2489 of the family's 2925-position model. The record is from RNAcentral. Lineage: Eukaryota; Metazoa; Chordata; Amphibia; Anura; Ptychadenidae.